ACAUGCAAGUAGAACGCUGAAGGAGGAGCUGCUCUUCUGGAAGAGUUGCGAACGGGUGAGUAACGCGUAGGUAACCUGCCUGGUAGCGGGGGAUAACUAUUGGAAACGAUAGCUAAUACCGCAUAAGAUUGAAUAUCGCAUGAUAAUUGAUUAAAAGAUGCAAAUGCAUCACUACCAGAUGGACCUGCGUUGUAUUAGCUAGUAGGUGAGGUAACGGCUCACCUAGGCGACGAUACAUAGCCGACCUGAGAGGGUGAUCGGCCACACUGGGACUGAGACACGGCCCAGACUCCUACGGGAGGCAGCAGUAGGGAAUCUUCGGCAAUGGGGGCAACCCUGACCGAGCAACGCCGCGUGAGUGAAGAAGGUUUUCGGAUCGUAAAGCUCUGUUGUAAGAGAAGAACGAGUGUGAGAGUGGAAAGUUCACACUGUGACGGUAUCUUACCAGAAAGGGACGGCUAACUACGUGCCAGCAGCCGCGGUAGUACGUAGGUCCCGAGCGUUGUCCGGAUUUAUUGGGCGUAAAGCGAGCGCAGGCGGUUAGAUAAGUCUGAAGUUAAAGGCUGUGGCUUAACCAUAGUACGCUUUGGAAACUGUUUAACUUGAGUGCAGAAGGGGAGAGUGGAAUUCCAUGUGUAGCGGUGAAAUGCGUAGAUAUAUGGAGGAACACCGGUGGCGAAAGCGGCUCUCUGGUCUGUAACUGACGCUGAGGCUCGAAAGCGUGGGGAGCGAACAGGAUUAGAUAUCCUGGUAGUCCACGCCGUAAACGAUGAGUGCUAGGUGUUAGGCCCUUUCCCGGGGCUUAGUGCCGUAGCUAACGCAUUAAGCACUCCGCCUGGGGAGUACG
RNAcentral lists this ribosomal RNA (847 nucleotides) under uncultured Streptococcus sp. RNAcentral describes it as "bacterial SSU rRNA". It matches the Rfam family "Bacterial small subunit ribosomal RNA", at positions 53 to 884 of the family's 1533-position model. Lineage: Bacteria; Bacillati; Bacillota; Bacilli; Lactobacillales; Streptococcaceae. The record is from RNAcentral.